ACCAAAACCCAUUCUUCUCUCUUCUACAGUAAAGUCUUAGCUACACGUGUGACCAUCUAGCAGGGACUGCAUUUCCCAGGCCUCUUUGUAAUUAGUGUGGAUGUGCAUUGUUGCCAAAGGAAGCUAUGAAUGCUGCUUUGGGGAUGGAGGUUUUGUUGUUGUUGUUUGUUUGUUUGUUUGUUUGUUUUUGAGAUGGAGUUUCACCCUUUUUGCCCAAGCUGGAGUGCAAUGGCACCAUCUCAGCUCACUGCAACCUCUGCCUCCCAGGUUCAAGUGAUUCUCCUGCCGCACCUCCUGAGCAGCUGGGAUUACAGGCAUGCACCACCAUGCCUGGCUAAUUUUGUAUUUUUAGUAGAGACAGGGUUUCGCCAUGUUGGCCAGGCUGGUCUCAAACUCCUGACCUCAGGUGAUCCACCUGCCUCAGCAUCCCAAAGUGCUGUGAUUACAGGCAUGAGCCACCGUGCCCAGCCUGGGACGGAGUUUUUAAGACGGCUUGAUCAGAGACGUGGAACCACUAUGACUGAUACGGAGUCUGGGCUUUGUUAUAAGAAUGAGACUUUGUAUAGUUGUGGAAGCUGGGGAAGAAGUCUUAUUGAGGGCUGUUGCCUCUGCAUAUGCCUGAAGUUGCUGUAGGUUGGCAGGACCAGAAAAUGGGAAGAGAGACUGGACAUGAAGUAAGAUAAAGUGAGAACAAACUGGAACUCAAAAGGACAAACUAGAAUCCACAUCUGUCUCUCACUGCCCCCAAACCUGACAACAUGGGUGACCUGCAAAAGAAGUUCACACUGUCUGUCACAGAGCUACAGUGUUCAACUAAAAAUUAUAAGACAUGGCAAGAGACAAGGAAGUGCAAAUACAACAGAUGAUAAUAACGGAGGAACAGAGGAACAAAAAGGCAUGUGACAAAUAGAAAACAAGUAGCAAAAUGGCAGUGUAAAUCCUAUCAUACCAAUCAUUACCUUAAAUGUGAAUGGACUAAAAAUGAAUGGAAGAAAAAAACAGAAAAGAAUUUAAGGA
Molecule: long non-coding RNA, 1017 nt
Filed under: Homo sapiens (human)
Lineage: Eukaryota; Metazoa; Chordata; Mammalia; Primates; Hominidae
Description: HSALNT0035809
Source: RNAcentral